RNAcentral lists this ribosomal RNA (497 nucleotides) under uncultured bacterium. RNAcentral's name for it is "partial 16S ribosomal RNA". It matches the Rfam family "Bacterial small subunit ribosomal RNA", at positions 28 to 507 of the family's 1533-position model. The record is from RNAcentral.
GAUGAACGCUGGCGGCGUGCCUAAUACAUGCAAGUCGAGCGAACGGACGAGAAGCUUGCUUUUCUGAUGUUAGCGGCGGACGGGUGAGUAACACGUGGAUAACCUACCUAUAAGACUGGGAUAACUUCGGGAAACCGGAGCUAAUACCGGAUAAUAUUUUUAACCGCAUGGUUCAAAAGUGAAAGACUGUCUUGCUUUCUCUUUUAGAUUGAUCCGCGCUGCAUUAGCUAGUUGGUAAGGUAACGGCUUACCAAGGCAACGAUGCAUAGCCGACCUGAGAGGGGGAGCGGCAAAACGGGAACUGAGACACGGUACAGAGUACUACGGGAGGCAGCAGUAGGGAAUCUUCCGCAAUGGGCGAAAGCCUGACGGAGCAACGCCGCGUGAGUGAUGAAGGUCUUCGGAUCGUAAAACUAUGUUAUUAGGGAAGAAAAUAUGUGUAAGUAACUGUGCACAUCUUGACGGUAACUAAUCAGAAAGCAACGGCUAACUACGUG